UGCCAGCAGCCGCGGUAAUACAGAGAUGGCAACCGUUGUUCGGAAUCACUGGGCUUAAAGAGCACGUAGGCGGAUUGGUCAGUCAGAGGUGAAAGCCCAGGGCUCAACCUUGGAAUUGCCUUUGAUACUGCCAGUCUUGAGUUCGGGAGAGGUGAGCGGAAUUCCGAGUGUAGAGGUGAAAUUCGUAGAUAUUCGGAGGAACACCAGAGGCGAAGGCGGCUCACUGGACCGAUACUGACGCUGAGGAGCGAAAGCGUGGGGAGCAAACAGGAUUAGAUA
RNAcentral lists this ribosomal RNA (279 nucleotides) under uncultured bacterium. RNAcentral describes it as "partial 16S ribosomal RNA". It matches the Rfam family "Bacterial small subunit ribosomal RNA", at positions 506 to 784 of the family's 1533-position model. The record is from RNAcentral.